GAGGGUAUAGCUUAAGCAUUAGAGCACAUGCUUAGCAAGCAUGAGGUCCUGGGUUCAAUCCCCAAUAUCUCCA
Camelus ferus (Wild Bactrian camel) is the source of this 73-nucleotide transfer RNA. It matches the Rfam family "tRNA". Rfam says of the family: Transfer RNA (tRNA) molecules are approximately 80 nucleotides in length. Their secondary structure includes four short double-helical elements and three loops (D, anti-codon, and T loops). NCBI's taxonomy places the organism in Eukaryota, Metazoa, Chordata, Mammalia, Artiodactyla, Camelidae. The record is from Rfam.